AACGAACGCUGGCGGCAUGCCUAACACAUGCAAGUCGAACGAAGGCUUCGGCCUUAGUGGCGCACGGGUGCGUAACGCGUGGGAAUCUGCCCUUUGCUUCGGAAUAACAGUUAGAAAUGACUGCUAAUACCGGAUGAUGUCGCACGACCAAAGAUUUAUCGGCAAAGGAUGAGCCCGCGUAGGAUUCGCUAGUUGGUGGGGUAAAGGCCUACCAAGGCGACGAUCCUUAGCUGGUCUGAGAGGAUGAUCAGCCACACUGGGACUGAGACACGGCCCAGACUCCUACGGGAGGCAGCAGUGGGGAAUAUUGGACGAGGGGCGAAAGCCUGAUCCAGCAAUGCCGCGUGAGUGAUGAAGGCCUUAGGGUUGUAAAGCUCUUUUACCCGGGAUGAUAAUGACAGUACCGGGAGAAUAAGCACCGGCUAACUCCGUG
Molecule: ribosomal RNA, 433 nt
Filed under: uncultured bacterium
Lineage: Bacteria
Description: partial 16S ribosomal RNA
Rfam family: Bacterial small subunit ribosomal RNA
Source: RNAcentral